RNAcentral lists this transfer RNA (80 nucleotides) under Arabidopsis suecica. RNAcentral describes it as "tRNA-Leu". It matches the Rfam family "tRNA". From Rfam's summary of the family: Transfer RNA (tRNA) molecules are approximately 80 nucleotides in length. Their secondary structure includes four short double-helical elements and three loops (D, anti-codon, and T loops). The record is from RNAcentral. Lineage: Eukaryota; Viridiplantae; Streptophyta; Magnoliopsida; Brassicales; Brassicaceae.
GUGGACGUGCCGGAGUGGUUAUCGGGCAUGACUAGAACAUGUGGGCUUUGCCCGCACAGGUUCGAAUCCUGCCGUUCAGG